Molecule: ribosomal RNA, 221 nt
Filed under: uncultured bacterium
Lineage: Bacteria
Description: partial 16S ribosomal RNA
Rfam family: Bacterial small subunit ribosomal RNA
Source: RNAcentral
AGUAAUGUAUGGGGAUCUGCCUGAUGGCGGAGGAUAACUACUGGAAACGGUAGCUAAUACCGCAUAACGUCGCAAGACCAAAGAGGGGACCUUCGGGCCUCUUGCCAUCGGAUGUGCCCAGAUGGGAUUAGCUAGUAGGUGGGGUAACGGCUCACCUAGGCGACGAUCCCUAGCUGGUCUGAGAGGAUGACCAGCCACACUGGAACUGAGACACGGUCCAG